GAUGAACGCUGGCGGCGUGCCUAAUACAUGCAAGUCGAGCGAACAGACGAGGAGCUUGCUCCUCUGACGUUAGCGGCGGACGGGUGAGUAACACGUGGAUAACCUACCUAUAAGACUGGGAUAACUUCGGGAAACCGGAGCUAAUACCGGAUAAUAUAUUGAACCGCAUGGUUCAAUAGUGAAAGACGGUUUUGCUGUCACUUAUAGAUGGAUCCGCGCCGCAUUAGCUAGUUGGUAAGGUAACGGCUUACCAAGGCAACGAUGCGUAGCCGACCUGAGAGGGUGAUCGGCCACACUGGAACUGAGACACGGUCCAGACUCCUGCGGGAGGCAGCAGUAGGGAAUCUGCCGCAAUGGGCGAAAGCCUGACGGAGCAACGCCGCGUGAGUGAUGAAGGUCUUCGGAUCGUAAAACUCUGUUAUUAGGGAAGAACAAAUGUGUAAGUAACUAUGCACGUCUUGACGGUACCUAAUCAGAAAGCCACGGCUAACUACGUG
This 497-nucleotide ribosomal RNA is filed under the name uncultured bacterium. RNAcentral describes it as "partial 16S ribosomal RNA". It matches the Rfam family "Bacterial small subunit ribosomal RNA", at positions 28 to 507 of the family's 1533-position model. The record is from RNAcentral.